AAAAAAAAUCAAAGCUACCCUUAAAAUAAUUACUAUUUGAAAAAUGCUCAAAAUAAAUCUCUGGGGGAAACAACAGUAAGCUUUUUCCCUGGCCUCACUCCUUACCGAGUGUAUUUCUGCCUUUUAUCACGUGAGUGAUGGGAUUUUCUCUAGCUGAAGGCAUGGUGCACUUUUGUUGGCUUUUGACUAUGGGUUUGUCUACGUGGUUUCUUUUGGCUUAGGCCAGUUCCCAGCCUAGGCCUCGAGUAUUUCCAUCUGUUCUCUUACACUCCUGUCACAGCCAGAGGAAAACAGAUUCAAGCUAGUCAGGGGAGUCAGAGGUGCCUGGGACAGAACUAGCCACUCAGGUCCAGCUGCAGGAGACCCACAUGGGUGAGAGGCCAAUAUUGCUGUGUGCCUCUGAGUGUUUGAUGGUGUUGUUGUGAAGCAUUCUUACACACAGGUGACACACGUGCCAGCAAAAACGAAAUGUUUGAAGGGUUUGGAACAACGACAUUCUCCUAAGACAAAUGUCUCCUCUAAAGAAGGUGUGUUCAGUAAAAAUGAUUUAUGUAGGAUAAUUUUUCAGAGUAUAUAUGCAUGCAUAUAUACAUAUGUAUAUGUGUGUGUGAGAAGAGCGUAUGUAUCUAGAAGGAUCUAUAUCAAGUGCUUAUCAAUGGGUAUGUGAAUAGAUAAUCUGAAACACAAAAUAAUAAGCCUGUAUCUAUUUGGAAUAAAAUAAAAAUUCUAGACUUUGAUGACCUGAGUUUGAUCCUCAAGACCCAGAUUGUAAGUGGAAAGGAAAGAAACUUUUAUAAGUUACCUCUGCCCUCUACAUGAAUGUUCCAGCAUGUACGUGCACACAGACACAGACACAGACACAGACACAGACACAGACACAGACACACACACACACACACACACACACACACACACACACGCAAAUGUAAAAAAAUAGUUUCAUUAAAAAGCCUAGAAAAUAAUUGGUGGAUUAUUUUAUUAUAAUAUUUCUACUAAACUGAUAUGAAACAUAUCCUGUUUCAUAAGUAAAAAUGUCUGCAAUAAGUGACAGUUUGUCGCAGAAUCACCUUGGUAGUCAAAGGAAUUAAAAGAUCCCAAACCAUAAAAAAGCUUACACACAUAUAUCUCAAUUUAGCAUCUACAGAUGAAUUGAGAAUCAAUUACAUAAAAAGAUCACAAGUUUUUGUGACAGGGUUUGGAUCUCAACCUUUAGUUAGGCACCUGGGCAGGUCCCACUGGCUUCUCUCAUUUGGUUAUUCCCCUUUUUCUUUCUAGUAAACAACUUGCAGUUGUCUACAUUUCUUUGCCCUUUUUUUUUUUUUGCAACUAAAUGUGGCCAUGUGUGCAAGCUUUGAUGCACUGAACACAAAUAGAAAUGACAGGUAAAGCUUCAACUCAUGUUUUCAUAAGAAGCUGAAUGCCCAGGUCUCUUCCUGUCCUCCUUCCCAAGAGCAGGAACAUGUUCCAACCACACAGACACUGCUGCUGCUGCUGCUGAAGCCAUGCAUGAGAAAGGUGGUCUGGGAGAGCAUCAGUGCCUACCGCCAGGUCACCCGACCUCUUAGGACAGAACUACCUGUCUCAGCCUCUGUGUUUCAAGUGGAAAAUAAGUAAGGGGGACUCAGCCCAUCACGCAUGCUUCCCAAACACCCUUUUUCCACCAAGAAACAAUACACUUCGCUUUAGUCUUUAAUUGAAUCUUGAUCAUUUUUAUAGCUGCUCUAAAGUUACUUGAUGCACUAGCUCAUCGAGCUAAGAGCCAACGUCAAAGGCAUCUCGAGAAUCUGAAAGUUGAGGCGGUUCAUUUCCUGAUGGGCAUAGUUCGGGGAUGGCUCAUGUGAAUUUUAAGGAUGUUCUUUCAGUGGGUGUGUGUUCCAAACUGUAAUAUAAUCACUUGCAGGCCCAGGAACAUGUAGAUUCCUAUUUGGUAGAUUUUGAGAGGAGCCUGAGAAGUCUAGAUGUGCUUCUCACAGGCUUCCACUAAUCAUGCAUGAGAGGCCUGACUCUGAAAAGUCUGGAAUGGGAAGGCAGGAGAUGAGAGGCCUGGGGCCAGUCAGGAGCUGCUGGGGUAAAUCUGGGAUGACACCAAAAUGGACCUAUAUCCAAAGAAAAGAAAACAAAUAAAACCCCAAAUCUAGGAUCAUCUUUUAUUUGUUUGUGUGGCUUGGUUUCUUGAGGCAGGAUUUCUCAGUGUAGUCCUGGUUGUCCUAGAACUCGUUCUGGAGACCAGGCUGAUCUCAAACUCAGAGAUCUGCCUGCCUCUGCCUCCCGGGUGUUGGGGUUAAAGAUGUUUGCUAUCACACCCAGCAAAUCUAGGAUCUUUAUUGUCUGUGUGUAGCAACAAGAAGCAAAGGCCAAAGAAUAUGAUCAAAUAUCAAUGCAUAAGGUAUCACAUUCUGAGUGUUAUAUUAUUAUUUUUAUAGACUACAGAAGUUGAGAAUUAGAUAAAAUAUAAUAUUCUAAUACUUGAUGGAGCAGUGCCUUUGAAUCUAAGCUGUCUCCUGAUGCCGGGUGCACCCCACAAUAAGGUUCUGAGCCUCAGCUAAGGGACGUUGUAUCCAGAAGGACUUCUUGAAAAUAGUCACAGGGUUUGGAGAGGUCACGGAUUAAGAUGUGUGCAGUUAGUGAGAGGCAGUGAGAUAACCAUGUCAGGUGGAGCCCAUUGCCUUUCAGACUGAUAGGUGAGAGGGGUAUCUCCAACAUGAGGUAUUUAAUUGUAGCAAAAAAUGUGAUCAACCUUCUUGGUAUCCUACUGGAUAAAGUGAGGACGAGUAAGGCUGGAUGCUGGUAGCAUUAAGUGGGUUUGCGAGUGAUCAAACGGUCCUUAGCAACCUAUGAGGGGCAGCAACCUUGAGCAGGUGCCCCCGAAUCUAACCUUGGCCUUGUCACAUUCAGCAUUUUUACGGAGGCAAGUGAAGAUGUUGCUGUACCCAUACCCUAAAACAAACAUGGAGCCCAAUAGGGAAGAAAGUGACCAAAAACCACUCUGUCUCAACACACCUUACAUUCUAAAGGAGGCAAAAGGUAAUGCUGAAUGGCUGUGGUGUGCUAGGCAGUUGUGUGUCUAUGAAGGGGAGCAGAAAAGAGCAUAGAGGGGCUGGGGAUUUAGCUCAGUGGUAGAGCGCUUACCUAGGAAGCGCAAGGCCCUGGGUUCGGUCCCCAGCUCCGAAAAAAAGUACCAAAAAAAAAAAAAAAAAGAAAAGAGCAUAGAACAGAUAUUGUGGUUGAUUAGGGAAGUGCUUGGUUUUAAAUAGAGGGGUGGAGGUCACUGAAAAGGGCUGAGGAUUAUGUGACUAACACACCCAAGGGAAGUUGAUUUGAGGAGGUAACAGAAGAGAAACAUAGGGGCUGGAGAGAUGGCUCAGUGGUUAAGAUCACUGACUGCUCUUCCAGAGGUCCUGAGUCAAGUUCCCAGCAACCACAUGGUGGCUUACAACCAUCUAUGAUGGGAUCUGAUGCCCUCUUCUGGUGUGUCUGAAGACAGCUACAGUGUACUCAUAUAUAUACAUAUACAAUGAGUAAAUAAGGCUUUAAAACAGACGAAGAAGAAGAAGAAAAAGAAGAAGAUGACAAAGGGGAGUUUGUACAUUAACCAGGCAACUGUGAUAAUCAAAUGAAUCUCAAUUUGGCUAAAACGUUGAGACAAAUCUUAUGUUUAUUUUAGCGGAAGGUCAAAGGUUUAUAUAUUAAGAGGUAACCAGAAAAUCGCAUAUCUUGGAGAGUACAAUUUCAUUGAAAUAAAUGUAAGGCCGUCUCUUUGGGAACAGAGUAUCCGUUAUUGGUGACAUGUUAGGAGAAAUGAGAUUUGGCAUUCAGAAAAUAGACUAGGAAUGUUAGUCAAAUGAAUCAGCUCUGAGAUGUGGCUCAAAAACCUAGUGCGGGCUCAGGUUGUAAGUUCAGCCUCUGCAGGGAGCGGGGGUUGUGUCAGCAAACCGCACUUAAUGAAUGCAGCAUGUUUGGAUAGGGGACAAAAUCCAAACUCCAAACUGACAAACAGGAGGACACCUAAAGGAGAGCAAACAGAGGUGGUUGAAAGUCCAAAGCACUUCAGAUCACAAACACUUCGAUGCAGUCCCAAAGGCUGGACGUUGAGGGGAAGUCCACACUGCUUCUGAGUUUUCAUAGGUGUGUCUCACAAAACUAGUUGGGGGAUAUAAAAGCCCCAUAGCUGUCAAUGAAAAGAGUGACAAAUGCUGCAUGUCUUUGUAAAUACGCAAAGACUCUUCUCUCCUGAAACAUGACCCAGUAGCCUAUACCUUUGCACCCCUUUGCCAUUCAAACUAAAAGCUAGCUCCUGCAUAUACGUGUGUGUAUGUGUAGCAUAUAGGGGGAGUGUGGGGCCCGAGAUAGACUUUGAAUGUAUUUCAGUAUUGCUCUCAACCAUAUUUUUCGAGACAGGUUUUCCAAUUAAACCUGGCGCUCACUAUUAUGGCUCUACUGGCUGGUCAUCAGGCCUCCAGCAUCCUCCUAUCUCUGCACCCUGCCUCAGAACUAGAGUUACAGGCACAUACUGCCAUGCCUGGUUUUCUACAUGGCUACUUGGGACCUGAACUCAGGUAGCCACGUUUCUAUAGCAAGUACUUUACCCACUGAGCCACUCCCCAGGGUAAACCACCCUUGGAAGCAAACGGCCUCACAGCUGGUGACUUGGGCUCUUCUGCUUCAGAUGUUCAGUGGCCUCUCAUGGUUGGAGUGUUCUAGUGUGUACAUGUGGGCGGUCAUCCAGAGUCCCUGUAUCUUUUCCAGCACAUAGGCCUGCAAGGAGGCCUGGGGACUAGGAAAACCCUGAGUCCUUUGUGGGGAAAAAAAGAAGUGGGCUCUGCCUCUGAGGGUUCCAAAGUCUCCAUUUGUAAUACCGAAUGGUAAGCCCCAAUUGGACAGAUGUAGAUCAGUCCACUUCUCUUGGGGGUGAAAAAACCAGCCAAGGAAAAGACAAGAUAGCAAAUACACCCCACAGUAAGGUUAUUGCAUGAUUCAAGGCGGGGGUAAAGGGUGGGGGGCUGGCUAGGGCAUCUGUGCAGUGACCUCACGGUUUGUGGCUUCCACACUGGCACUGCCUUUCAUCUCUGAAUGCCCAAGCCUUUCAGCCUGGGUGCAAAUGCUGUCUCUUCCAGAAACUAGUAUUCUCUCCCCAGCCUAGGGCCAUCUCUCCCUAACCCAUCACGCUGUCUCUGCAGCUCUCUGAGAAUGAAAUCGGUUUUAUUACUGUUCUUUAACACACACACACACACACACACACACACACACACACACACACACACAAUAUUAUUUUAUUUUAUGUGUAUGGGUAUCUUGCCUGCUUGUAUGUCUGUGUCGUGUGAUGUGCUUGGCACUUGCACAGCCCAGAAGAGGGUGUUGGGUUCCUUGGUACUGGAGUUAUAAGCUUCUGUGUGGGUGAUGGGAACUAAACUUGGUUCCUCUGGAAGAACAGCUAUUGCCAUCUCUCCAGUCCUCAUUGCUGUACGAUAGCAUGAAUAUAGGCAAGGAAUCUACUGUAUUUGGUGGCAGCCAUCAUCGCCAACAGCUGCUUUUGGCUCCCACGCCUUUUAGAAUGCUCUUGAUAGAAAACAAGUUCCUCUCUGGAGCAAAAGGUGGAAUGAAUAAAUGUAUAAAGUGGCGACCCACCAGAGCUCCACUGAUUUGUAUCUAUUUUUAAAAUUUAUCUGUAGUUUCUCUCCCAGUUAGGGGACUUAGAAAAUGCCAUAGAAAAGAGCAGGCUACCUCCCAAGCUCUGACAAGAGACUUAGCUUGGUCAGGACCCAAAGUCAAGCCAUUGGUUCCAGCUUGCUAUAGCAUCAUGUGUUUUUCCUGCCCUGAUCCUACUUCUAUAAGGCUUAAAAGUGGAAAAGGAGUCAUAGAACAGAAAGUGCUGGGCACAGGAGUCCUUCUCCAGGAUGAGGACGCCUUCCAGGAAUAGUGCCUGUGCCCUGCUGUUAUGAUACAGGUAUUCUAUCAUUCUAUUGUCUGGAGCAGCCCAGCCUGGUCCUCUUCCAUGGUUGGCCAGGGCAGACAAUGGGGAGGGGGAUCUUGGGGUGUUGAGUAAAGGCUAUUCUGGAGGGUGCUUUUGGAAAGAUUUGGUCCUGGCAGGCUCUGUUAGUUCCUGCAAUACAGCCCAGGCUCAGGAAACAGUGAGUUUUGUCUUUGUGGCCUAGGAAAGCAAGUUUGAAUAGGCAGCCAUGUGGGGAGGCAGCCUGGCACCAGCUCUCCCACUUUCUCUUCCACAAGCCCAUGCCCGGAAGGCUCCUUUUAACCCUGGUGAUGAGCACCUUCCUCAUUUCUCUUCUUCCUCUUCCCGCCCACAUCCUAGAGCUCACAGUGGUUGAGGGUGAGGGCCGGGUAAAGGGCUUGGCAGAGUCAAAGUGUGCAGAAAACCUUUUCUUCCCUGAGGAGCAGGUGCUUGGCUUUCUGCUCUCAGCUGAGGAAACAGUGGCCAAGAAACAGCUGAGAGACAGCUCAGAAGUGACACCUUGCACACCCACCCACGUUUUCCUGUCCUCGCUUUUCAAUUCUUUCUCAGUCUUUCCGUUGAUCAGCAAGAUUCUGUGGUUGUUGAUGACUAGAGCCGGGAUGUGCUUGCAGGACACGUCUGAGCCUUUCAUCUGUAUGCACGAUCCUACUAGGGAGCUCGGGAGAAACCUGUGGACUCUGAAAUGUCUUUCAAUGAGGAUUCUAUUAUCUCAUUUCAUCUGUAGUCUGGGCUAACAAAACCCAUUGCUAAAUGAAACACAUCUUUCCUCUAGCUCUGCCAAGUGACUGUGACAAUCUUACAUGCCAGGCUUUUGCCUCCUUGUUGAAGACUUAGAAAAAGAUUCCCUCAAAUGCUUGGAAGCCCAGGAAGAAAGCUGCUUGGCUUGGCAUUGAGUAAUCCAAGAGGUGAAAAACCUCAUGGCUUGCCCCUUCCCCAGGUUGAGCGGAGUCCUCCAAGCUAAGGACAGGAGGUCCGGAAAUGCUUCAGACAGGAAGGUCUGUGUCUGCAAGGAGGCCGUAAGUUGAGGGGUUCCGAAGUACACCCAGAGGUUCUCAUAGGAAUUCCCUGUCAUUGUGUUGAAGGAACUACAGGAAAGGCGCCGGGCAGCUGUUGUGUGUAUCUAGAUCUGACCCUGAUUAGAACCUGCUUCACUAGGAAAACCACUCUCCGUGGAAUACAGAAGCUUUGGCAACAAUGCCACAGCCAUGAGAGAAGAGCCAGCGAAGACUUCAAUGGCAUCUAAGUCGUCUUUUCAAAACAGAGGGGCUCGGGUUCAGGCAGAGUGGACAUGGCAGGGUGGAAAGUAGACCGUACCUCGGCGAGCGUGGAAUUAUUACUUUAUCUCCGUUUAGCAGCUUCUCCCACGACAUUUAGUCACAGAGAGUAAGCUGGCCCAAAUUGCUACAAAAUAGUGAUUUCCUAGGUUUUAGGAUGAACCCCCUAGAAGGUCUGCACCCAAGGCUGUGAGUUCACAUUGUGCCACAGAAUACUAUUACUUUCUUUGAUAGCACCUCUCUAGUGCCGUUUCCAAAAUGUUUUCUUAUAACAUAGGAUUAUGAAAGUAUUAUCUAGAAGAGAAUAUAUUCCUUAAAGAAAACAGUUUCCUCAGGUCAAUGGGAUGCUAGCUGAGUGAAUUAUAAGACAGGAUCAGAGUGAGAUUUUUCUCACUGCUUUCUCAUCAUUAUUUCAUUAUUAGAAAUUUCAAAUACACAGUAAAAUGGAGAACAUUUAUAAUGAAUAUCUACGAACCAAUCAUCUUUCUUUAUAAUUAGCAUUUUUAUAGUUACAUCCUAGUUACCUAUCAACUCACCUGCAUUUGUUACCUGUCAAAAUAAAUUGCAAACGUUAGCUCAUUUUUGCCUAAGUACGUUCACAUGCAUAUAACUGUUAUAAGAUUACGGUUUGCUCAUGUAUCUUAUCAGUCAUGCUGGUUUUUAUUUAAUGUUCAUCAAUGUAUAUAAUAUACAUAUAGUGUACUAUAUGUAUAUAAUAGAAUUGGAGAAAAUAUGAUGAAUAUACAUGUGUUCAUAUAUAAACUUAAUCAGUAAAGCUGGUCACUAAUCUUUCAAUAUGAACUUUUAUUCAGAUACACUGUACAUGGAAUGAACUUAUUGUUCAUUGCAUUGAAUCUAGAGAUUUUCCUUUGAAUACCACUUUAACUAUGUCAUGCAGGCUUUGGAAAUAGAAUAGUAUAUAUUCUAUUUCAAUUGCCACAAUUUUCUAUCCUGAUUGAUUCUUUGCUUUGUUUAUUUCAAAGUACCCAAUUCAGAAUUUUCAAAAUUUCUGCCUGUCAUUUGUUGCUAACUCCAUUCCACCACAACUGGAGAAGUUUGUCAGAUUUCAGCUCUCUUAGAUGUGUUGAGACUCGUAUGAGGGUGCUCCACUCAGACAAGAGUGCAUGUGCUCCCGCAGGAAGUGCUUUACAGACAGCGGCUGAGCACACUGAGAGGUUCACAGCACUCUUCAAAUCUGCAUCUUUGAUGAAACGCUGCUCCACUGAUGAAUCCAUAAUUGAAAAUGGGAUAUAGAAGUCUCCUAAUGUUACUGCUGAAUUAUCUAUAGGUGUCUUCUCCCUUUGAAUUUGUUCUUGUUUCAAUUAUUAUUUUGGGGUUCAGUUUUUAGAUGUACAUAUGUUUAUAAUAGUUAAGUGUUCCUGAUGGAGGGACUUUUUCUUAAUUAAAAAAUGUUUCAUACAAUAUAUUUGAUUAUAUUUUCUUCUCCAUCAGUUUCCCCCAAGCUCUCUCCCACCUCCCUAUCUACUCAACUCUAUAUUCUUUCUCUUAAAAAAAAAUACAAAAACCAAAAACCAUGGAAUUUUGUGUUGGCCAAAUACCCUUGAACAUGGGGCCUACCCUGAAGUUGGUUGUUAAACUCAAGACAGCACUGGCAAAAACUGAUUUUCUCUUUGCCUCUGGGUAUCAAUUGUAAAUAUCUUAUUGGUUAGGGGGAUACCCUGUACCUUUUUCCCCUUUAGGCCAGGUGUGUGUGGUGGUUCGUGCCUUUGAUAAACAGAAGAUUCAUGAAUUUAAGAUAAGCCUGGACUGUAUAGUGAGACCCUGUCUCAAACAUUAACAACUACGGGUCCAUUUUUUGUUCCUGGUAGCAAUUUGUUUGUCUUCAAGUUUAUUUUCUAUGAUUUUUCACAUGGUUUUCUUUCUCUCUUUAAAAUUUUUUAUUUUUGAAGUAUAUAGUAUAUGUGUAUAUAAAGUGUAUAUAAUUUUUUUUCUUUUUUUUUUUUUUGGAGCUGGGGAUCGAACCCAGGGCCUUGCGCUGCUAGGCAAGCACUCUACCACUGAGCUAAAUCCCCACCCCAAGUGUAUAUAAUUUUUAAUCUUUGAAUUUUCAACCUACUUGUGACUGUCUCUAGGCGGUCACACUUUAGAGUCAAAGACACAGAUAGGCUGGAAGUACAACUCACUUCAACUUACAAGUAAGUAUGAACUGUUUCAUCGUCAUUUCAAUCUGGGGAUCGCACUUUGUUACAAUAUUUCCCGGAGCAGACAGUUUCAAGUAAGCAAGAAUCACUCUAUUUCUCUCCCUUACAGCAGGUGAACAAAACUGACCAAAUAAACAAGACACUGGGAAAACAAGAGCACCAGUCAGCUGCCCACACUGAGCUCUCUGGAUGUCCAGUUAGGCAGGUCUUCCCUUCCAGAUCCUCCACAGGCCUACAGGAAGCAGCAUUUGGUCCUCCGGUCCAGGCUUGCUAGAAAACACAACCAAGGCGAGGCAGCUCUGGCCGUUAAGGGUCACAGAGGAAAGCUGUGGUUGUGUGAGUAUUAUAGUAAAACGAUGCCAGGACUCAGAGGGUGUGUCUUGAGUUCUGAAGCACACAUCCCUAUUACAUCAUGCUUGGGCCACUUGGGACAUUCUUUAGUCUCACAGGAAUUGAUUCAAGGAAGGCAACAUGUUUCUGUGUAAAGAGGCUGAGAUCUGGGCCUGACACAUCCAAGAACAGCUGGUCAAAUGGGACUGGCUUGUGUAAUGUACCGCAUUCCUGGCUGUGCUGUGAUGGGUGGAGGACCAAUGCUGCGUCUUCAGAUUAAUUCUUAUUAACACAGUAAUCUUAUUAUUUCCCUAAAGCCCUCCUCCAGUGAAGAAAAGGUCAAAGGAAAAUAGAGUUCAGAGGGACACACACACACACACACACACACACAGAGAGAGAGAGAGAGAGAGAGAGAGAGAGAGAGAGAGAGAGAGAGAGAGAGAGAACCAACUCUUUCUCUAUAAAGGACAGCUAGAACUUUAUUCCAACGUAGUCAGUGUGUAACCAGUAACGCAUCUGUUUAGAUUUUUGUAUUUUCAAUAUUUUAAAUAAGAUUGUGUUCAAAUCUCAUAGUAUAUACAAGUACAGGGAGACUUGUUCAUGAAGUAUUAUGGAAAACUCACAGUACCUUUUACCCACAGAACUAGGCGCCCAUGCUGAAACAAUUCAAGAAAGCAGGGCUCUGCAUGAGAAAACCUUUGAAAAGAACUCAGAAGAGCUCAACAGGACAAGACCAGACACAGAGUUGAUCACACUGGGAGCCCACCAGACUGCCAUCUGAACACUGGAACUCUUGGCAGACUUUGGAUAAUUGUAGUGGUGACAGAAGUGAAUCAGAGAUCUGCCCAGUUGCUAUGGGACAAAACUAUCCAAAGCAAGAGUCUGCAGGGAUCCUCCUUGAUGCUCAGGAAGAAUCGCUAAUAGGAGAAAGGGUCCUGGCAUCUGCUGCUGUCUGUCCCCUCCUAUGUGGUCCCUCGUCCUCCUGCCCAUCACACUGUAUUAUGGUGAGUGGUUCUGAGACUCAGUUUGGCUAGACUUUUGAACGUGAUAUUGCAUUCGUCUUUGGCUUUUCCAUAACCGAGCCUGGUAGAUGGCUACAAAGUAUCAACUUGCUUAUGACCUCAUCUCCCAAAGCAUUAGUAGUUUCAUCUUAUUUACUUGAUGCUGCUUUUGAGCUGGAAAGACUAUUUUACACCCCAUCAUUCAUUGAUGAUUAAGUGAGACCAACGCAGAAGAGGCUGAAUUUCAGCAGUGGAAGCAAUGACAUCAAGUUUCGUAUGUGACAAAGAAGCCAUGGUUAGAAUGGCUAACUAAAAUUCCAGGAUGACUUUUGAAUUGCUUUUAAGUCAGUAUAUUUUUUAAAAAUUGUCUAUUUACUUAAAAAAAUGUGUGCGAGUUUUGCUUAUAGGGGAACUGCGUCCUUAGUGAGAGCAGCACUCGUUCUUACGUGAUGAGCCUUCUCUUCAGCCUCGUAAGUCAGUGUUUUUAAUUCACUCUUCACCCAAGCCUUUUCUGAGAGCCAACAAGGCUGCCUGAUUUAGGUUUCUGGCUUUCCCCCUCCAUACUGUGGUUGGAGAGCAAAGAAAAGGUCAACAGGAAGGCCAGAGAAGAGAAAUGCACAAGGGGAGGAGAGGCAAAGAAAUGACCCAGUUGAGGGAAAAAAAAAAAAAAAAAAAAGACUCGGGGAAUCAGAUCUCUGCCUCUGCCUACAGGGAGGACAGGAUCAACAAUUCAAUAAUGGCUUCAGAUCUGGAGCCGGGGUCAGGCUUGGGGAGCAUGGGAACAACCUUCCAAACAUGUCUCUCCAGGAAACAGUCUCUCUGUGUCUCUUCUUUUUUAUGGAUGGACUUCUUUGCCACUCUUAAAGUAGCUUCCUUCCAUACUGUGGCAAAGAUGUCCCCCAGGAGCUCCAUGCUCAGUAUCUACCAGCUUAGCCACCCUUGUUCCAGCUAAGUCUUGGGUUUACUUUAAUUGGCUUAGUCUGCGCUCACCAAUACUGCAAACUAAUCUCGGUAGCAGAAGGAACAUGAUCCUUCUGCUGGUCAGACAUGGAGCCACUGGUUCAAGCAGGGCCUGGACACACAGGUUGAAGAUUAAAGAAGGGUGUUUCCUUACAGGAGAACCACAGUACAAGCAUUAAAGGAAAGGGUGAGCGGUCAAGGGUAAGGCAGAUGCCAGGUGCCCGUCUCUCUGGGAGUCUGCCUCCCUUUUCUACCACUCACUAGUUGCUUCUGCCUUAGGACACACCUUCGUUUCCAAGCUUAUUUCCCCAUUUGUAAGCCAUGGGUCAUGGUACACACUUGCUAGUGUUACUGAGAAAACCGGCUCAUAGUAUAUUAUGGGGAUCUUCCAUGCCUGGCACAAAAUUGGCAGCCAUUACUGUUGAUGUCACUGUUUCUUGGGGAUAGCAGUGGAAAGCACAAAGGCUAGAGUAGAAAUGACCAGGAAGAACACUGCUGUGCCCUGAUUCUGACCCCAGAUGCUCUAGAGUCUGUGCUUGGACAGCAUCCUUCUCUCCAGUUCUCGAACCCGAUGGCGCUCCACCUUCCUAAUGCUAUAAGCCUUUCAUAUGUGCUGUCGUGACCUCCCACCAAAAAAUUAUUUUUGUUGCGACUUCAUAACUGUAACCUAACUACUCUUAGGAAUCGUAAUGUAAAUAUUUUAGGAGACAGAGGUUUGAUGAAUGGGUCUCGAUUCACAGUUGAGACUCGCUGCUCUAAACCAUUUACUGCAUCUGUCUUUGAUAGAGCAGAUAGUCCCAGCUUCAGAUAAGCCAAGCACCUUCUCUGCACUUGUGUAUGAAUUGAGGGAAAUCAUAAUUUCAGGUUAUUUGAAUGAUAUUGCCUGAAAAUGACCAAGGCCUGUGUGGUGGUUUGAAUAGGUGUGUGGUCUUAUAGGAGGAAGUGUGUCACUGUGGACAUGGGCUUUGAGACCUCCCUCCUAACUACAUGUGAGUCAGUCUUCUGUUUGCCUUUGGAACAAGAUGUAGAACCCUCAGCUCCUCUGGUGUCAUUUCUGACUGGAUGCUGCCAUGCUCCCUGCCACGAUAAUAAUGGACUGAACCUCCGAACCUAGAACGCUGUGGAGUUGUUCUUCCUAUCAUCAGGGCACAUGGAGAAUGUGGAUCCCUCCUCAACAGUGACUGCACUAAAGGAUGGAGCCUGCUGUGCUUUACCAAGGGGAGGGCAGAGCUAGGACCCCUCAAGUGCUUCAGUGGACCCUAUUCAGAGGAGGCCCUGCUAGUUUUAAGCCCAUCACCCCCACAAGACACUAUUUCCAGUCAUUAAAAUGUUUCUUGAACUUA
Molecule: non-coding RNA, 13038 nt
Organism: Rattus norvegicus (Norway rat)
Lineage: Eukaryota; Metazoa; Chordata; Mammalia; Rodentia; Muridae
Source: RefSeq, a predicted model, not a curated record